AAAAUGACCAGUGCUAGCCUGAAACCUAGGGGAAAACUUUCAUAAACAAGCUUCCUGUGUUUUUAAGCCUGGGUUGUUUCUGCAGACUUACGUGUUAUUGAAACACCUAUGCCUAAGGGACUAAAUGAAGAUAUGGGUCUUCAGGAUUGGUUCAGGAAAAUGAAUUCUAUGACGCUGCUGUAAAACCACCUCUGAUUGGGCCGAUCCACAGGCGGUGAUAACAAGUCUGAGAGGAUCUGAACCAGAAAAGUUGCCUCAUUCUGCAGAAAGA
Molecule: long non-coding RNA, 271 nt
Organism: Gopherus evgoodei (Goodes thornscrub tortoise)
Lineage: Eukaryota; Metazoa; Chordata; Testudines; Testudinidae
Exons: 2
Source: RefSeq, a predicted model, not a curated record